GCUGGAUUGGCAGAAUAGUGCAUUAAAUUUAGACUUUGAUUAAGAGGUAAUAAAACUUCAUUCAGUA
Molecule: transfer RNA, 67 nt
Filed under: Roxasellana stellata
Lineage: Eukaryota; Metazoa; Arthropoda; Insecta; Hemiptera; Cicadellidae
Description: tRNA-Leu
Source: RNAcentral